This is a non-coding RNA of Pelobates cultripes (western spadefoot toad), 345 nucleotides long. The record is from the annotation of a GenBank genome assembly. NCBI's taxonomy places the organism in Eukaryota, Metazoa, Chordata, Amphibia, Anura, Pelobatidae.
CCCUAAUGUAGUAUUCAGAGGAGCUCCUAAUUUCAAAUCAAUCUUAACUAAGAAUUUUACUAGGCAAAUAAAAACCAAACCAGCUUUAUCCUUAUUCCCCAAAAUUAAAGGUUACUGCAAAUGCAAAUCAUGUUUAGUCUGUAGAUCUACGGAUUCAUCAUUACCAUCUAAAAUAACUGAAUUCACUUCGAAAGUAACAAAUAAGGUUUACAAAAUUGAUGACUUUAUUAACUGUACCACAAGAAAUGUUAUUUAUCUGCUUGAAUGCCCCUGUGGCCUCCAAUAUGUUGGAAUGACCACAAAGUGCUUGAAAACAAGAAUAAGCGAACAUUGCAGAAAUAUUAC